UGGGGAAUUUUGGACAAUGGGCGCAAGCCUGAUCCAGCCAUGCCGCGUGAGUGAAGAAGGCCUUCGGGUUGUAAAGCUCUUUUGUCCGGGAGCAAGUCCUACUGGCUAAUAUCUGGUGGGGAUGAGAGUACUGGAAGAAUAAGCACCGGCUAACUACGUGCCAGCAGCCGCGGUAAUACGUAGGGUGCGAGCGUUAAUCGGAAUUACUGGGCGUAAAGGGUGCGCAGGCGGUUUUGUAAGCCAGAUGUGAAAUCCCCGGGCUUAACCUGGGAACUGCGUUUGGAACUACAAGGCUAGAGUGUGUCAGAGGGGGGUAGAAUUCCACGUGUAGCAGUGAAAUGCGUAGAGAUGUGGAGGAAUACCGAUGGCGAAGGCAGCCCCCUGGGAUAACACUGACGCUCAUGCACGAAAGCGUGGGGAGCAAACA
RNAcentral lists this ribosomal RNA (427 nucleotides) under uncultured bacterium. Its description in RNAcentral is "bacterial SSU rRNA". It matches the Rfam family "Bacterial small subunit ribosomal RNA", at positions 355 to 774 of the family's 1533-position model. RNAcentral also lists the same sequence under 1 other name. The record is from RNAcentral.